CCUACGGGUGGCAGCAGUGGGGAAUAUUGCACAAUGGGGGAAACACUGAUGCAGCGACGCCGCGUGAAGGAAGAAGUAUUUCGGUAUGUAAACUUCUAUCAGCAGGGAAGAAAAUGACGGUACCUGACUAAGAAGCCCCGGCUAACUACGUGCCAGCAGCCGCGGUAAUACGUAGGGGGCAAGCGUUAUCCGGAUUUACUGGGUGUAAAGGGAGCGUAGGCGGCGAUGCAAGUCAGAAGUGAAAGCCCGGGGCUCAACCCCGGGACUGCUGUUGAAACUGUAUGGCUAGAUUGCAGGAGAGGCAUGUGGAAUUCCUGGUGUAGCGGUGAAAUGCGUAGAUAUUAGGAGGAACACCAGUGGCGAAGGCAGCUUGCUGGACUGUAAAUGACGCUGAGGCUCGAAAGCGUGGGGAGCGAACAGGAUUAGAUACCCCAGUAGUC
This 440-nucleotide ribosomal RNA is filed under the name uncultured bacterium. RNAcentral describes it as "partial 16S ribosomal RNA". It matches the Rfam family "Bacterial small subunit ribosomal RNA", at positions 338 to 795 of the family's 1533-position model. The record is from RNAcentral.